Molecule: ribosomal RNA, 494 nt
Filed under: uncultured bacterium
Lineage: Bacteria
Description: bacterial SSU rRNA
Rfam family: Bacterial small subunit ribosomal RNA
Source: RNAcentral
CCUACGGGAGGCAGCAGUGGGGAAUUUUGGACAAUGGGCGCAAGCCUGAUCCAGCAAUGCCGCGUGCAGGAUGAAGGCCUUCGGGUUGUAAACUGCUUUUGUACGGAACGAAACGGUCUGCUCUAAUACAGUGGGCUAAUGACGGUACCGUAAGAAUAAGCACCGGCUAACUACGCGCCAGCAGCCGCGGUAAUACGUAGGGUGCGAGCGUUAAUCGGAAUUACUGGGCGUAAAGCGUGCGCAGGCGGUUAUAUAAGACAGAUGUGAAAUCCCCGGGCUCAACCUGGGACCUGCAUUUGUGACUGUAUAGCUAGAGUGCGGCAGAGGGGGAUGGAAUUCCGCGUGUAGCAGUGAAAUGCGUAGAUAUGCGGAGGAACACCGAUGGCGAAGGCAAUCCCCUGGGCCUGCACUGACGCUCAUGCACGAAACGACGGUGGGGAGGACGAAACAAGGAGUUAGUAUACCCUACGGUAGUACCGACCGACCCUAAACCG